RNAcentral lists this ribosomal RNA (810 nucleotides) under Lysinibacillus macroides. Its description in RNAcentral is "bacterial SSU rRNA". It matches the Rfam family "Bacterial small subunit ribosomal RNA", at positions 57 to 840 of the family's 1533-position model. The record is from RNAcentral. Lineage: Bacteria; Bacillati; Bacillota; Bacilli; Caryophanales; Bacillaceae.
GCAGUCCGAGCGAACAGAAAAGGAGCUUGCUCCCUUUGACGUUAGCGGCGGACGGGUGAGUAACACGUGGGCAACCUACCCUAUAGUUUGGGAUAACUCCGGGAAACCGGGGCUAAUACCGAAUAAUCUCUUUUGCUUCAUGGUGAAAGACUGAAAGACGGUUUCGGCUGUCGCUAUAGGAUGGGCCCGCGGCGCAUUAGCUAGUUGGUGAGGUAACGGCUCACCAAGGCGACGAUGCGUAGCCGACCUGAGAGGGUGAUCGGCCACACUGGGACUGAGACACGGCCCAGACUCCUACGGGAGGCAGCAGUAGGGAAUCUUCCACAAUGGGCGAAAGCCUGAUGGAGCAACGCCGCGUGAGUGAAGAAGGUUUUCGGAUCGUAAAACUCUGUUGUAAGGGAAGAACAAGUACAGUAGUAACUGGCUGUACCUUGACGGUACCUUAUUAGAAAGCCACGGCUAACUACGUGCCAGCAGCCGCGGUAAUACGUAGGUGGCAAGCGUUGUCCGGAAUUAUUGGGCGUAAAGCGCGCGCAGGCGGUCCUUUAAGUCUGAUGUGAAAGCCCACGGCUCAACCGUGGAGGGUCAUUGGAAACUGGGGGACUUGAGUGCAGAAGAGGAAAGUGGAAUUCCAAGUGUAGCGGUGAAAUGCGUAGAGAUUUGGAGGAACACCAGUGGGCGAAGGCGACUUUCUGGUCUGUAACUGACGCUAAGGCGCGAAAGCGUGGGGGAGCAAACAGGAUUAGAUACCCUGGGUAGUCCACGCCCGUAAAACGAUGAAUUGCUAAAUUGUUAAGGGGGUUUCCCCCC